Danio rerio (zebrafish) is the source of this 117-nucleotide ribosomal RNA. NCBI's taxonomy places the organism in Eukaryota, Metazoa, Chordata, Actinopteri, Cypriniformes, Danionidae. The record is from Ensembl.
AUAUACUGUCAUAUCACCCUUCAGCCCGAGACCGCUUACUCACUGAAGCUAAGCAGGACUGAAUCUGGUCAGUAUCUGGAUAGGAGACCACAUGGGAAAACUAGGUUGCUGUUGGAA